UUUUUGGAGUAAUUAACGAUUAUAUCUUUUAUCUCGGGAAAGAAGGAUAUAUGUCAAUCUACAAGUUAGGUUUAUUCCUUAUCCAGGACUCGUGUCCAUGAGAACCAAGGCGGCGCAACCCCAUCCCAUAGAUCGUAGGCAUGGAGUGUGACCCUGAUCUCGCCUUGGAGGCAGCCUAGCAGAGGAACAUCGUAGCAACAUACAAGAACCUCUCCCUAAGUUCAUAGAAGGUUUGUCCCAAAUUUUUUGUUUAUUUUGAUUUUCCUCUUCAUCGACCUCACAUCUGGAAGUUGCCUGUCUUGUGGCCGAGGAUACAUGGCAUUCAUCGCCGUAUUGGCGGCGUGGAAGGCGCCUUCAAGCCUGCACUUGCGGCUCGGGUCGACGAGGCAGCCGCAACAGGCCAACAGCCGCAACGGACCAAAGAAAUUAGAUCCAUCCAGCUUAGUGCAAUGGAAUCGACCAGCCGCCAACCUGCAUCUUCCUUUCAAAGAACCAGAGACACCGAUGGUGAGGGGCCAUGGAGGCGCGGGCGAGACCAUGAAUCGACGGGCGCACAUGGGAGGGCGGCAAAUCGAUGGUGGCGCAAGUGAGGGUCACAUGCAAGAUUACGGGAAGCAUAUAACCUGAGCUCUACGAGGGUUAUCACGAUGAGUCAUCAUAGGUAUGGAAACUUGACAGCAUUAGCUCCGGAAAGAUGCUUUCUACUCACAGUUGAACAAGUCUGGACUGAUACAAGGUAUUGCUAGGUGGACCUUGCCAGAGCAAUCAAGUAAAUUAGCAGAUUUCAGCAGGAAAAGGGUUACUCACAGGCCUCAUAAGCAAUAUGAGGAACCCGGGAAGAAGUACAAGUUAGCUACAAAAGAUGGAAAUGAUGCGCCAACAAAUACACCAAUCUUGUUUAGUACAAAAUGGGAUGCAGAUGAUUCCAAAAGACUGAUGGUCCACCAUAAUAUAUAGAAGCAACAGGAGGGAUAGCUGAUGAAGAAUGAUAUCCAUUCAAACAAUGGUGGUGUUCCUCAAGUGAAGAUUAAUAAUAUUUUCUUUUCUAGUUGUCUCAUUUUCCAGAUAGAUAUUAUCAAGUACAUUGGUUAUAUAAGGAAUGAUUUUGACUCCAUUUCUUAAAUGAUAUUUUAAUUCCAGAAUUGUAUGUCGGAAUAUUGAUGUCUAUUAAUAAAAGUGGCUACGAUCUUUUCAA
RNA transcript from Triticum aestivum (bread wheat), 1195 nucleotides. RefSeq lists it as uncharacterized. The transcript has 6 exons. Lineage: Eukaryota; Viridiplantae; Streptophyta; Magnoliopsida; Poales; Poaceae. The record is from RefSeq and is a predicted model, not a curated record.